UAAGCAUAUCAAUAAGCGGAGGAAAAGAAACCAACAGGGAUUGCCUUAGUAACGGCGAGUGAAGCGGCAAAAGCUCAAAUUUGAAAUCUGGCACCUUCGGUGUCCGAGUUGUAAUUUGAAGAAGGUAACUUUGGAGUUGGCUCUUGUCUAUGUUCCUUGGAACAGGACGUCACAGAGGGUGAGAAUCCCGUGCGAUGAGAUGCCCAAUUCUAUGUAAAGUGCUUUCGAAGAGUCGAGUUGUUUGGGAAUGCAGCUCUAAGUGGGUGGUAAAUUCCAUCUAAAGCUAAAUAUUGGCGAGAGACCGAUAGCGAACAAGUACAGUGAUGGAAAGAUGAAAAGAACUUUGAAAAGAGAGUGAAAAAGUACGUGAAAUUGUUGAAAGGGAAGGGCUUGAGAUCAGACUUGGUAUUUUGCGAUCCUUUCCUUCUUGGUUGGGUUCCUCGCAGCUUACUGGGCCAGCAUCGGUUUGGAUGGUAGGAUAAUGACUAAGGAAUGUGGCUCUACUUCGGUGGAGUGUUAUAGCCUUGGUUGAUACUGCCUGUCUAGACCGAGGACUGCGUCUUUUGACUAGGAUGUUGGCAUAAUGAUCUUAAGCCACCCGUCUUGAAACACGGACCAAGGAGUCUAACGUCUAUGCGAGUGUUUGGGUGUAAAACCCGUACGCGUAAUGAAAGUGAACGUAGGUGAGAGCUCUUAAGAGUGCAUCAUCGACCGAUCCUGAUGUCUUCGGAUGGAUUUGAGUAAGAGCAUAGCUGUUGGGACCCGAAAGAUGGUGAACUAUGCCUGAAUAGGGUGAAGCCAGAGGAAACUCUGGUGGAGGCUCGUAGCGGUUCUGACGUGCAAAUCGAUCGUCGAAUUUGGGUAUAGGGGCGAAAGACUAAUCGAACCAUCUAGUAGCUGGUUCCUGCCGAGU
RNAcentral lists this ribosomal RNA (913 nucleotides) under Debaryomyces hansenii. Its description in RNAcentral is "LSU rRNA". It matches the Rfam family "Eukaryotic large subunit ribosomal RNA", at positions 35 to 966 of the family's 3401-position model. Lineage: Eukaryota; Fungi; Ascomycota; Pichiomycetes; Serinales; Debaryomycetaceae. The record is from RNAcentral.